AACGAACGCUGGCGGCGUGGCUAAGGCAUGCAAGUCGAGCGGACGUGUUCCAAGGGUAACUGCGGGACACGUUAGCGGCGAACGGGUGAGGAAUUCAUGGAUAACGUACCUCGGACACAGGGAUAGCGGCGGGGGAAACCCCUUUGCGAAAGUGCCGGUAAUACCUGAUGACCCCGCGGGAUCGCAUGAUCGUGCGGGCAAAGGUCCGCCGGUCCGAGAUCGGUCCAUGACCUAUCAGCUAGUUGGUGAGGUAACGGCCCACCAAGGCUUUGACGGGUAUCGGGCGUGAGAGCGCGGCCCGACACAUCGGCACUGAGACACUGGCCGGACACCUACGGGUGGCUGCAGCAACGAAUAUUCCGCAAUGGGCGCAAGCCUGACGGAGCGACGCCGCGUGCAGGAUGAAGUCCCUCGGGAUGUAAACUGCUGUCGAGGGGUGAGGAACAUUGACCAGCCCCAGAGGAAGCACCGGCUAACUCCGUCGCCA
Molecule: ribosomal RNA, 487 nt
Filed under: uncultured bacterium
Lineage: Bacteria
Description: bacterial SSU rRNA
Rfam family: Bacterial small subunit ribosomal RNA
Source: RNAcentral